GGGUUGUGAGGUUAAGCGACUAAGCGUACACGGUGGAUGCCCUGGCAGUCAGAGGCGAUGAAGGACGUGCUAAUCUGCGAUAAGCGUCGGUAAGGUGAUAUGAACCGUUAUAACCGGCGAUUUCCGAAUGGGGAAACCCAGUGUGAUUCGUCACACUAUCAUUAACUGAAUCCAUAGGUUAAUGAGGCGAACCGGGGGAACUGAAACAUCUAAGUACCCCGAGGAAAAGAAAUCAACCGAGAUUCCCCCAGUAGCGGCGAGCGAACGGGGAGCAGCCCAGAGCCUGAAUCAGUGUGUGUGUUAGUGGAAGCGUCUGGAAAGGCGCGCGAUACAGGGUGACAGCCCCGUACACAAAAAUGCACAUACUGUGAGCUCGAUGAGUAGGGCGGGACACGUGGUAUCCUGUCUGAAUAUGGGGGGACCAUCCUCCAAGGCUAAAUACUCCUGACUGACCGAUAGUGAACCAGUACCGUGAGGGAAAGGCGAAAAGAACCCCGGCGAGGGGAGUGAAAAAGAACCUGAAACCGUGUACGUACAAGCAGUGGGAGCACGCUUCGGCGUGUGACUGCGUACCUUUUGUAUAAUGGGUCAGCGACUUAUAUUCUGUAGCAAGGUUAACCGAAUAGGGGAGCCGAAGGGAAACCGAGUCUUAACUGGGCGUUAAGUUGCAGGGUAUAGACCCGAAACCCGGUGAUCUAGCCAUGGGCAGGUUGAAGGUUGGGUAACACUAACUGGAGGACCGAACCGACUAAUGUUGAAAAAUUAGCGGAUGACUUGUGGCUGGGGGUGAAAGGCCAAUCAAACCGGGAGAUAGCUGGUUCUCCCCGAAAGCUAUUUAGGUAGCGCCUCGUGAAUUCAUCUCCGGGGGUAGAGCACUGUUUCGGCAAGGGGGUCAUCCCGACUUACCAACCCGAUGCAAACUGCGAAUACCGGAGAAUGUUAUCACGGGAGACACACGGCGGGUGCUAACGUCCGUCGUGAAGAGGGAAACAACCCAGACCGCCAGCUAAGGUCCCAAAGUCAUGGUUAAGUGGGAAACGAUGUGGGAAGGCCCAGACAGCCAGGAUGUUGGCUUAGAAGCAGCCAUCAUUUAAAGAAAGCGUAAUAGCUCACUGGUCGAGUCGGCCUGCGCGGAAGAUGUAACGGGGCUAAACCAUGCACCGAAGCUGCGGCAGCGACACUAUGUGUUGUUGGGUAGGGGAGCGUUCUGUAAGCCUGCGAAGGUGUACUGUGAGGUAUGCUGGAGGUAUCAGAAGUGCGAAUGCUGACAUAAGUAACGAUAAAGCGGGUGAAAAGCCCGCUCGCCGGAAGACCAAGGGUUCCUGUCCAACGUUAAUCGGGGCAGGGUGAGUCGACCCCUAAGGCGAGGCCGAAAGGCGUAGUCGAUGGGAAACAGGUUAAUAUUCCUGUACUUGGUGUUACUGCGAAGGGGGGACGGAGAAGGCUAUGUUGGCCGGGCGACGGUUGUCCCGGUUUAAGCGUGUAGGCUGAUUUUCCAGGCAAAUCCGGAGAAUCAAGGCUGAGGCGUGAUGACGAGGCACUACGGUGCUGAAGCAACAAAUGCCCUGCUUCCAGGAAAAGCCUCUAAGCAUCAGGUAACAUCAAAUCGUACCCCAAACCGACACAGGUGGUCAGGUAGAGAAUACCAAGGCGCUUGAGAGAACUCGGGUGAAGGAACUAGGCAAAAUGGUGCCGUAACUUCGGGAGAAGGCACGCUGAUACGUAGGUGAAGUCCCUCGCGGAUGGAGCUGAAAUCAGUCGAAGAUACCAGCUGGCUGCAACUGUUUAUUAAAAACACAGCACUGUGCAAACACGAAAGUGGACGUAUACGGUGUGACGCCUGCCCGGUGCCGGAAGGUUAAUUGAUGGGGUCAGCGCAAGCGAAGCUCUUGAUCGAAGCCCCGGUAAACGGCGGCCGUAACUAUAACGGUCCUAAGGUAGCGAAAUUCCUUGUCGGGUAAGUUCCGACCUGCACGAAUGGCGUAAUGAUGGCCAGGCUGUCUCCACCCGAGACUCAGUGAAAUUGAACUCGCUGUGAAGAUGCAGUGUACCCGCGGCAAGACGGAAAGACCCCGUGAACCUUUACUAUAGCUUGACACUGAACAUUGAGCCUUGAUGUGUAGGAUAGGUGGGAGGCUUUGAAGUGUGGACGCCAGUCUGCAUGGAGCCGGCCUUGAAAUACCACCCUUUAAUGUUUGAUGUUCUAACGUAGACCCGUGAUCCGGGUUGCGGACAGUGUCUGGUGGGUAGUUUGACUGGGGCGGUCUCCUCCUAAAGAGUAACGGAGGAGCACGAAGGUUGGCUAAUCCUGGUCGGACAUCAGGAGGUUAGUGCAAUGGCAUAAGCCAGCUUGACUGCGAGCGUGACGGCGCGAGCAGGUGCGAAAGCAGGUCAUAGUGAUCCGGUGGUUCUGAAUGGAAGGGCCAUCGCUCAACGGAUAAAAGGUACUCCGGGGAUAACAGGCUGAUACCGCCCAAGAGUUCAUAUCGACGGCGGUGUUUGGCACCUCGAUGUCGGCUCAUCACAUCCUGGGGCUGAAGUAGGUCCCAAGGGUAUGGCUGUUCGCCAUUUAAAGUGGUACGCGAGCUGGGUUUAGAACGUCGUGAGACAGUUCGGUCCCUAUCUGCCGUGGGCGCUGGAGAACUGAGGGGGGCUGCUCCUAGUACGAGAGGACCGGAGUGGACGCAUCACUGGUGUUCGGGUUGUCAUGCCAAUGGCACUGCCCGGUAGCUAAAUGCGGAAGAGAUAAGUGCUGAAAGCAUCUAAGCACGAAACUUGCCCCGAGAUGAGUUCUCCCUGACCCUUUAAGGGUCCUGAAGGAACGUUGAAGACGACGACGUUGAUAGGCCGGGUGUGUAAGCGCAGCGAUGCGUUGAGCUAACCGGUACUAAUGAACCGUGAGGCUUAACCUUACAACGCCGAAGGUGUUU
Molecule: ribosomal RNA, 2930 nt
Filed under: Escherichia coli
Lineage: Bacteria; Pseudomonadati; Pseudomonadota; Gammaproteobacteria; Enterobacterales; Enterobacteriaceae
Description: 23S ribosomal RNA
Rfam family: Bacterial large subunit ribosomal RNA
Source: RNAcentral